Molecule: ribosomal RNA, 468 nt
Filed under: uncultured bacterium
Lineage: Bacteria
Description: partial 16S ribosomal RNA
Rfam family: Bacterial small subunit ribosomal RNA
Source: RNAcentral
GACGAACGCUGGCGGCGUGCUUAACACAUGCAAGUCGAACGGAAAGGCCCUGCUUUUGUGGGGUGCUCGAGUGGCGAACGGGUGAGUAACACGUGAGUAACCUGCCCUUGACUUUGGGAUAACUUCAGGAAACUGGGGCUAAUACCGGAUAGGAGCUCCUGCUGCAUGGUGGGGGUUGGAACGUUUCGGCGGUUGGGGAUGGACUCGCGGCUUAUCAGCUUUUUGGUGGGGUAGUGGCUUACCAAGGCUUUGACGGGUAGCCGGCCUGCGAGGGUGACCGGCCACAAUGGGACUGAGAUACGGCCCAGACUCCUACGGGAGGCAGCAGUGGGGAAUAUUGCACAAUGGGCGGAAGCCUGAGGCAGAAACGCCGCGGGCGGGAUGAAGGCCUUCGGGUUGUAAACCGCUUUCGCCUGUGACGAAGCGUGAGUGACGGUAAUGGGUAAAGAAGCACCGGCUAACUACGUG